RNAcentral lists this ribosomal RNA (455 nucleotides) under uncultured bacterium. RNAcentral's name for it is "bacterial SSU rRNA". It matches the Rfam family "Bacterial small subunit ribosomal RNA", at positions 1 to 507 of the family's 1533-position model. The record is from RNAcentral.
UACGUAGUUUGAUCAUGGCUCAGAACGAACGCUGGCGGCAUGCCUAAUACAUGCAAGUCGAACGAGAUCUUCGGAUCUAGUGGCGCACGGGUGCGUAACGCGUGGGAAUCUACCUUGGGUUCGGAAUAACAGUUAGAAAUGACUGCUAAUACCGGAUGAUGACGUAAGUCCAAAGAUUUAUCGCCCAAGGAUGAGCCCGCGUAAGAUUAGCUAGUUGGUGAGGUAAAGGCUCACCAAGGCUACGAUCUUUAGCUGGUCUGAGAGGAUGAUCAGCCACACUGGGACUGAGACACGGCCCAGACUCCUACGGGAGGCAGCAGUAGGGAAUAUUGGACAAUGGGCGAAAGCCUGAUCCAGCAAUGCCGCGUGAGUGAUGAAGGCCUUAGGGUUGUAAAGCUCUUUUACCCGAGAUGAUAAUGACAGUAUCGGGAGAAUAAGCUCCGGCUAACUCCGUG